RNAcentral lists this ribosomal RNA (400 nucleotides) under uncultured soil bacterium. Its description in RNAcentral is "bacterial SSU rRNA". It matches the Rfam family "Bacterial small subunit ribosomal RNA", at positions 26 to 418 of the family's 1533-position model. The record is from RNAcentral.
AGAUUGAACGCUGGCGGCAUGCCUUACACAUGCAAGUCGAACGGCAGCACGGGAGCAAUCCUGGUGGCGAGUGGCGAACGGGUGAGUAAUAUAUCGGAACGUGCCCAGUCGUGGGGGAUAACGUAGAGAAAUUUACGCUAAUACCGCAUACGAUCCAAGGAUGAAAGCGGGGGACCUAAGGCCUCGCGCGACUGGAGCGGCUGAUAUCAGAUUAGCUUGUUGGUGAGGUAAAAGCUCACCAAGGCGACGAUCUGUAGCUGGUUUGAGAGAACGACCAGCCACACUGGGACUGAGACACGGCCCAGACUCCGUACGGGAGGCGAGCAGGUUGGGGUAAUUUUGGACAAGUGGGACGAAAGCCGUGACUUCCAGUCAAUCGGCCGUCGUCGACGAAGGGAAG